UCCAGAUUGAACGACUGGCGGCAUGCUUUACACAUGCAAGUCGAACGGCAGCACGGGUGCUUGCACCUGGUGGCGAGUGGCGGACGGGUGAGUAAUACAUCGGAACGUAUCCAGAANAGGGGGAUAACGCAUCGAAAGAUGUGCUAAUACCGCAUAUUCUCUGAGGAGGAAAGCAGGGGAUCGCAAGACCUUGCGCUUUUGGAGCGGCUGAUGUCUGAUUAGCUAGUUGGUGGGGUAAAGGCCUACCAAGGCGACGAUCAGUAGUUGGUCUGAGAGGACGACCAGCAACACUGGGACUGAGACACGGCCCAGACUCCUACGGGAGGCAGCAGUGGGGAAUCUUAGACAAUGGGCGCAAGCCUGAUCUAGCCAUGCCGCGUGGACGAUGAAGGCCUUAGGGUUGUAAAGUCCUUUCAGAUGGGAAGAUAAUGACGGUACCAUCAGAAGAAGCCCCGGCUAACUCCGUG
This 467-nucleotide ribosomal RNA is filed under the name uncultured bacterium. Its description in RNAcentral is "bacterial SSU rRNA". It matches the Rfam family "Bacterial small subunit ribosomal RNA", at positions 23 to 507 of the family's 1533-position model. The record is from RNAcentral.